CCUACGGGUGGCUGCAGUGGGGAAUAUUGGACAAUGGGGGGAACCCUGAUCCAGCCAUGCCGCGUGUGUGAAGAAGGCCCUCGGGUUGUAAAGCACUUUCAGUGAGGAAGAACGCCUGGUGGUUAAUACCCAUCAGGAAAGACAUCACUCACAGAAGAAGCACCGGCUAACUCCGUGCCAGCAGCCGCGGUAAUACGGAGGGUGCGAGCGUUAAUCGGAAUUACUGGGCGUAAAGCGCGCGUAGGUGGCUUGAUAAGCCGGUUGUGAAAGCCCCGGGCUCAACCUGGGAACGGCAUCCGGAACUGUCAAGCUAGAGUGCAGGAGAGGAAGGUAGAAUUCCCGGUGUAGCGGUGAAAUGCGUAGAGAUCGGGAGGAAUACCAGUGGCGAAGGCGGUCUUCUGGACUGACACUGACACUGAGGUGCGAAAGCGUGGGUAGCAAACAGGAUUAGAUACCCCAGUAGUC
RNAcentral lists this ribosomal RNA (465 nucleotides) under Vreelandella stevensii. RNAcentral describes it as "partial 16S ribosomal RNA". It matches the Rfam family "Bacterial small subunit ribosomal RNA", at positions 338 to 795 of the family's 1533-position model. The record is from RNAcentral. Lineage: Bacteria; Pseudomonadati; Pseudomonadota; Gammaproteobacteria; Oceanospirillales; Halomonadaceae.